UACAGAGGUCUCGAGCGUUGUUCGGAUUCAUUGGGCGUAAAGGGUGCGUAGGUGGCGCCGUAAGUCAGGUGUGAAAUUUCGGAGCUUAACUCCGAAACUGCAUUUGAUACUGUGGUGCUCGAGUACUGGAGAGGAGAUUGGAAUUUACGGUGUAGCAGUGAAAUGCGUAGAUAUCGUAAGGAAGACCAGUGGCGAAGGCGAAUCUCUGGACAGUUACUGACACUGAGCACGAAGGCCAGGGGAGCAAACGGG
This 252-nucleotide ribosomal RNA is filed under the name uncultured bacterium. RNAcentral's name for it is "partial 16S ribosomal RNA". It matches the Rfam family "Bacterial small subunit ribosomal RNA", at positions 524 to 776 of the family's 1533-position model. The record is from RNAcentral.